This 160-nucleotide ribosomal RNA is filed under the name Dissophora ornata. RNAcentral's name for it is "5.8S ribosomal RNA". It matches the Rfam family "5.8S ribosomal RNA". Rfam says of the family: 5.8S ribosomal RNA (5.8S rRNA) is a component of the large subunit of the eukaryotic ribosome. The record is from RNAcentral. Lineage: Eukaryota; Fungi; Mortierellomycota; Mortierellomycetes; Mortierellales; Mortierellaceae.
ACAACUUUCAACAACGGAUCUCUUGGCUCUCGCAUCGAUGAAGAACGCAGCGAAAUGCGAUACGUAAUGUGAAUUGCAGAAUUCAGUGAAUCAUCGAAUCUUUGAACGCACAUUGCGCUCUCUGGUAUUCCGGAGAGCAUGCUUGUUUGAGUAUCAGUAA